This 495-nucleotide ribosomal RNA is filed under the name uncultured bacterium. RNAcentral's name for it is "partial 16S ribosomal RNA". It matches the Rfam family "Bacterial small subunit ribosomal RNA", at positions 28 to 507 of the family's 1533-position model. The record is from RNAcentral.
GACGAACGCUGGCGGCGUGCCUAAUACAUGCAAGUAGAACGCUGAAGGAGGAGCUUGCUUCUCUGGAUGAGUUGCGAACGGGUGAGUAACGCGUAGGUAACCUGCCUGGUAGCGGGGGAUAACUAUUGGAAACGAUAGCUAAUACCGCAUAAGAGUAGAUGUUGCAUGACAUUUGCUUAAAAGGUGCAAUUGCAUCACUACCAGAUGGACCUGCGUUGUAUUAGCUAGUUGGUGGGGUAACGGCUCACCAAGGCGACGAUACAUAGCCGACCUGAGAGGGUGAUCGGCCACACUGGGACUGGGACACGGCCCAGACUCCUACGGGAGGCAGCAGUAGGGAAUCUUCGGCAAUGGACGGAAGUCUGACCGAGCAACGCCGCGUGAGGGAAGAAGGGUUUCGGAUCGUAAAGCUCUGUUGUAAGAGAAGAACGAGUGUGAGAGUGGAAAGUUCACACUGUGACGGUAUCUGACCAGAAAGGGACGGCUAACUACGUG